Molecule: small RNA, 660 nt
Filed under: uncultured fungus
Lineage: Eukaryota; Fungi
Description: eukaryotic LSU rRNA
Rfam family: 5.8S ribosomal RNA (bases 178-331)
Source: RNAcentral
GGAAGGAUCAUUAUUGAAAUAAACCUGAUGGGUUGUUGCUGGCUCUCUAGAGAGCAUGUGCACGCCUUGUCAUCUUUAAAUCUCCACCUGUGCACCUUUUGUAGACCUUUUCAGGUCUAUGUUGUCUCAUUUACCCCAAUGUAUGUUAAUAGAAUGUUGUGACUAUAUAAUAUAUACAACUUUCAGCAACGGAUCUCUUGGCUCUCGCAUCGAUGAAGAACGCAGCGAAAUGCGAUAAGUAAUGUGAAUUGCAGAAUUCAGUGAAUCAUCGAAUCUUUGAACGCACCUUGCGCUCCUUGGUAUUCCGAGGAGCAUGCCUGUUUGAGUGUCAUUAAUAUAUAUAUCAACCUUCUCUUGUUGAAUGGUUUGGAUGUGGGGGUUUGCUGGCCUCUUAAAAGGAUUCAGCUCUCCUAAAAUGCAUUAGCAGAACAAACCCUGUUCAUUGGUGUGAUAACUAUCUACGCUAUUGAAUGUGAGGUGGCAGUUCAGCUUUCUAACAGUCCCUCGGGACAACUCAUCAUUAAUGUGACCUCAAAUCAGGUAGGACUACCCGCUGAACUUAAGCAUAUCAAUAAGCGGAGGAAAAGAAACUAACAAGGAUUCCCCUAGUAACUGCGAGUGAAGCGGGAAAAGCUCAAAUUUAAAAUCUGGCGGUCUUUU